RNAcentral lists this ribosomal RNA (253 nucleotides) under uncultured bacterium. RNAcentral's name for it is "partial 16S ribosomal RNA". It matches the Rfam family "Bacterial small subunit ribosomal RNA", at positions 524 to 776 of the family's 1533-position model. The record is from RNAcentral.
UACGGAAGGGGCAAGCGUUGUUCGGAUUCAUUGGGCGUAAAGGGCGCGUAGGUGGUUCUGUAUGUCUACCGUGAAAGCAUACAGCUCAACUGUAUUUUGUCGGUAGAAACUGCAGGACUUGAGGCUGGGAGGGGCUGGUGGAAUUCCCUGUGUAGCGGUGAAAUGCGUAGAGAUGGGGGAGAACACUCGUGGCGAAGGCGGCCAGCUAGACCAGUUCUGACACUGAGGCGCGACAGCGUGGGGAGCAAACAGG